This 484-nucleotide ribosomal RNA is filed under the name uncultured bacterium. RNAcentral's name for it is "partial 16S ribosomal RNA". It matches the Rfam family "Bacterial small subunit ribosomal RNA", at positions 30 to 507 of the family's 1533-position model. The record is from RNAcentral.
AUUGAACGCUGGCGGCAGGCCUAACACAUGCAAGUCGAGCGGAUGAAGGGAGCUUGCUCCUGGAUUCAGCGGCGGACGGGUGAGUAAUGCCUAGGAAUCUGCCUGGUAGUGGGGGAUAACGUCCGGAAACGGGCGCUAAUACCGCAUACGUCCUGAGGGAGAAAGUGGGGGAUCUUCGGACCUCACGCUAUCAGAUGAGCCUAGGUCGGAUUAGCUAGUUGGUGGGGUAAAGGCCUACCAAGGCGACGAUCCGUAACUGGUCUGAGAGGAUGAUCAGUCACACGGGAACUGAGACACGGUCCAGACUCCUACGGGAGGCAGCAGUGGGGAAUAUUGGACAAUGGGCGAAAGCCUGAUCCAGCCAUGCCGCGUGCGUGAAGAAGGUCUUCGGAUUGUAAAGCACUUUAAGUUGGGAGGAAGGGCAGUAAGUUAAUACCUUGCUGUUUUGACGUUACCAACAGAAUAAGCACCGGCUAACUUCGUG